RNAcentral lists this ribosomal RNA (253 nucleotides) under uncultured bacterium. Its description in RNAcentral is "partial 16S ribosomal RNA". It matches the Rfam family "Bacterial small subunit ribosomal RNA", at positions 524 to 776 of the family's 1533-position model. The record is from RNAcentral.
UACGAACUGUGCGAACGUUAUUCGGAAUCACUGGGCUUACAGGGUACGUAGGCGGCUUGUUAAGUAGGGUGUGAAAGCCCCCGGCUCAACCGGGGAAUUGCGCCCUAAACUGGCGAGCUGGAGUGAGAUAGGGGUGUGUGGAACUUCCGGUGGAGCGGUGAAAUGUGUUGAUAUCGGAAGGAACGCCGGUGGCGAAAGCGACACACUGGAUCUUGUCUGACGCUGAGGCACGAAAGCCAGGGGAGCGAACGGG